Molecule: ribosomal RNA, 468 nt
Filed under: uncultured bacterium
Lineage: Bacteria
Description: partial 16S ribosomal RNA
Rfam family: Bacterial small subunit ribosomal RNA
Source: RNAcentral
GACGAACGCUGGCGGCGUGCUUAACACAUGCAAGUCGAACGGAAAGGCCCUGCUUUUGUGGGGUGCUCGAGUGGCGAACGGGUGAGUAACACGUGAGUAACCUGCCCUUGACUUUGGGAUAACUUCAGGAAACUGGGGCUAAUACCGGAUAGGAGCUCCUGCUGCAUGGUGGGGGUUGGAAAGUUUCGGCGGUUGGGGAUGGACUCGCGGCUUAUCAGCUUGUUGGUGGGGUAGUGGCUUACCAAGGCUUUGACGGGUAGCCGGCCUGAGAGGGUGACCGGCCACAUUGGGACUGGGAUACGGCCCAGACUCCUACGGGAGGCAGCAGUGGGGAAUAUUGCACAAGGGGCGGAAGCCUGAUGCAGCAACGCCGCGUGCGGGAUGACGGCCUGCGGGUUGUAAACCGCUUUCGCCUGUGACGAAGCGUGAGUGACGGUAAUGGGUAAAGAAGCACCGGCUAACUACGUG